GUGUCAGCAGCCGCGGUAAUACGUAGGUGGCAAGCGUUGUCCGGAAUUAUUGGGCGUAAAGCGUGCGCAGGCGGAUACUUAAGUGAGAUGUGAAAUCCCCCGGCUUAACUGGGGGGCGGCAUUGGAAACUGGGUGACUAGAGUGCAGGAGAGGAAAGUAGAAUUCCUAGUGUAGCGGUGAAAUGCGUAGAGAUUAGGAAGAAUACCAGUGGCGAAGGCGGCUUUCUGGACUGCAACUGACGCUGAGGCACGAAAGCAUGGGGAGCAAACAGGAUUAGAUACCCUGGUAGUCCAUGCCGUAAACGAUGAGUGCUAAGUGUUAGGGGGUUUCCGCCCUUUAGUGCUGCAGUUAACGCAUUAAGUAUUCCGCCUGGGGAGUACGACCGCAAGGUUGAAACUCAAAGGAAUUGGCGG
RNAcentral lists this ribosomal RNA (413 nucleotides) under uncultured bacterium. RNAcentral describes it as "bacterial SSU rRNA". It matches the Rfam family "Bacterial small subunit ribosomal RNA", at positions 505 to 916 of the family's 1533-position model. The record is from RNAcentral.